GAGCACGUAGGUGGGUUUGUAAGUCAGAUGUGAAAGCCUUCUGUUCAACGGAAGAAUUGCAUCUGAAACUGCAAGUCUUGAGUGUAGGAGGGGAGAAUGGAACUUCUGGUGGAGCGGUGAAAUGCGUAGAUAUCAGAAGGAACGCCGGCGGCGAAAGCGAUUCUCUGGCCUAUUACUGACACUCAGUGUGCGAAAGCUAGGGGAGCAAACGGGAUUAGAUACCCCGGUAGUCCUAGCCGUAAACGAUGGGCACUAAGUAGAGGGAAUUACCGAUGUUCUCUCUGCCGUAGCUAACGCAUUAAGUGCCCCGCCUGGGGAGUACGGCCGCAAGGCUAAAACUCAAAAGAAUUGACGGGGGCUCGCACAAGCGGUGGAGCAUGUGGCUUAAUUCGAUGCAACGCGAAGAACCUUACCGGGGCUUGACAUGGUAGAAGUAGGAACCCGAAAGGGUAACGAACGGUAUCCAGUCCGUAACUAUCACAGGUGUUGCAUGGCUGUCGUCAGCUCGUGUCGUGAGACGUUGGGUUAAGUCCCCUAACGAGCGAAACCCUUGUUUUUAGUUACCAGCGGGUUGUGCCGGGUACUCUAGAAAGACUGCCGUCGUCAAGACGGAGGAAGGUGGGGAUGACGUCAAGUCAUCAUGGCCCUUAUGCCCCGGGCUGCACACGUGCUACAAUGGUCGGUACAAACGGAAGCGAAGCCGAGAGGUGAAGCGAAUCC
RNAcentral lists this ribosomal RNA (720 nucleotides) under uncultured Candidatus Scalindua sp. RNAcentral's name for it is "bacterial SSU rRNA". It matches the Rfam family "Bacterial small subunit ribosomal RNA", at positions 565 to 1274 of the family's 1533-position model. Lineage: Bacteria; Pseudomonadati; Planctomycetota; Candidatus Brocadiia; Candidatus Brocadiales; Candidatus Scalinduaceae. The record is from RNAcentral.